Molecule: ribosomal RNA, 332 nt
Filed under: uncultured bacterium
Lineage: Bacteria
Description: bacterial SSU rRNA
Rfam family: Bacterial small subunit ribosomal RNA
Source: RNAcentral
CGUGUAGGCGGGAGUACAAGUCAGAUGUGAAAUACCGAGGCUUAACCUCGGGGCUGCAUCUGAAACUGUGUUUCUUGAGUGUCGGAGAGGAAAGUGGAAUUCCCAGUGUAGCGGUGAAAUGCGUAGAUAUUGGGAGGAACACCAGUGGCGAAGGCGACUUUCUGGACGAUAACUGACACUGAGGCGCGAAAGCGUGGGGAGCAAACAGGAUUAGAUACCCUGGUAGUCCACGCUGUAAACGAUGGAUACUAGGUGUAGGAGGUAUCGACCCCUUCUGUGCCGGAGUUAACACAAUAAGUAUCCCACCUGGGGAGUACGGCCGCAAGGUUGAA